GGCGGCAUGGCCAAGUGGUAAGGCAAUGGAUUGCAAAUCCAUCAUUCCCCGGUUCGAAUCCGGGUGCCGCCUCCA
This 75-nucleotide transfer RNA is filed under the name Planctomycetota bacterium. RNAcentral's name for it is "Planctomycetes bacterium tRNA-Cys". It matches the Rfam family "tRNA". Rfam says of the family: Transfer RNA (tRNA) molecules are approximately 80 nucleotides in length. Their secondary structure includes four short double-helical elements and three loops (D, anti-codon, and T loops). Lineage: Bacteria; Pseudomonadati; Planctomycetota. The record is from RNAcentral.